RNAcentral lists this long non-coding RNA (232 nucleotides) under Phoenix dactylifera (date palm). Its description in RNAcentral is "long non-coding RNA (PDAC_LNC013591)". The record is from RNAcentral. Lineage: Eukaryota; Viridiplantae; Streptophyta; Magnoliopsida; Arecales; Arecaceae.
GAGGGGUGUUGUGUUGGAGAAUAGAACUCACUUGCUCAGUUAGGAAGACCUUUUCAGGCACAUGUGUCCUAGAUUUUCGCUUUUGAGUACAAAGGUCUUUGAGAAAUUUGGCAUAGGAGGGAACUUGUCUAAUAGCAUCAAGAAGCGGGAGGUUGAUUUUGACUUGUUUGAAAACCUCCAUCAUCUCCUCUAGUGAAGUUCCCUUUUUGCCAAAGGGAGAGGGUGAAUUAAG